This 298-nucleotide ribosomal RNA is filed under the name uncultured bacterium. RNAcentral describes it as "partial 16S ribosomal RNA". It matches the Rfam family "Bacterial small subunit ribosomal RNA", at positions 333 to 629 of the family's 1533-position model. The record is from RNAcentral.
AUUGGCCUACGGGGCGCAGCAGUGAGGAAUAUUGGUCAAUGGUCGGGAGACUGAACCAGCCAAGCCGCGUGAGGGGUGAAGGUACAGAGUAUCGUAAACCUCUUUUGUCAGGGAACAAAGGCGGGGACGUGUCCCCGGAUGAGUGUACCUGAAGAAAAAGCAUCGGCUAACUCCGUGCCAGCAGCCGCGGUAAUACGGAGGAUGCGAGCCUUAUCCGGAUUUAUUGGGCUUAAAGGGUGCGCAGGCGGUCUGUUAAGUCAGCGGUCAAAGCCCGGGGCCCAACCCCGGCCCGCCGCUG